UUCCGGUUGAUCCCGCCGGACCCUACUGCUAUCGGGGCGGGACUAAGACAUGCAAGUCGUGCGUCUCUAAGCCAUGGUAGAGACGCGGCGUACGGCUCAGUAACACGUGGCUAACCUACCCUUAGGACGGAGACAACCCCGGGAAACUGGGGCUAAUACCUGAUAGGUGAGGAGGCCUGGAAUGGUUCUUCGCUGAAAAGGCGUUGAAACCAUGCUUUUCAACGUCGCCUAAGGAUGGGGCCGCGCCCGAUCAGGUUGUUGGUGGGGUAACGGCUCACCAAGCCUAUAACCGGUACGGGCCGUGAGAGCGGGAGCCCGGAGAUGGGCACUGAGAUAAGGGCCCAGGCCCUACGGGGCGCAGCAGUCGCGAAAACUCCGCAAUGCGCGAAAGCGUGACGGGGCUACCCCGAGUGCCGUCCGCUGAGGAUGGCUUUUCCUCGGUGUAAUGAGCCGGGGGAAUAAGGAGAGGGCAAGUCUGGUGUCAGCCGCCGCGGUAAUACCAGCUCUCCGAGUAGUAGGGACGAUUAUUGGGCUUAAAGCGUCCGUAGCCGGCUUAGCAAGUCUCCUGUUAAAUUCGGCGACCUAAUCGUUGAGCCGCGGGAGAUACUACUAGGCUAGGAGGCGGGAGAGGCCGACGGUAUUCCCGGGGUAGGGGUGAAAUCCUAUAAUCCCGGGAGGACCACCAGUGGCGAAGGCUGUCGGCUAGAACGCGCUCGACGGUGAGGGACGAAAGCUGGGGGAGCGAACCGGAUUAGAUACCCGGGUAGUCCCAGCUGUAAACGAUGCGGGCUAGUGUUGAGGUGCUACGAGCCACUUCAGUGCCGCAGGAAGCCAUUAAGCCCGUCGCCUGGGGAGUACGGCCGCAGGCUGAACUUAAAGGAAUUGUCGGGGGAACUACACAAGGCGUGAAGCUUGCUGUUCAAUUGGGAUUCACGCCGGA
This 940-nucleotide ribosomal RNA is filed under the name uncultured archaeon. RNAcentral describes it as "bacterial SSU rRNA". It matches the Rfam family "Archaeal small subunit ribosomal RNA", at positions 1 to 922 of the family's 1478-position model. The record is from RNAcentral.